UACGUAGGGUGCAAGCGUUAAUCGGAAUUACUGGGCGUAAAGCGUGCGCAGGCGGUUUUGUAAGUCAGAUGUGAAAUCCCCGGGCUUAACCUGGGAACUGCGUUUGAAACUACAAGGCUAGAGUGUGGCAGAGGGGGGUGGAAUUCCACGUGUAGCAGUGAAAUGCGUAGAGAUGUGGGGGAACACCGAUGGCGAAGGCAGCCCCCUGGGUUAACACUGACGCUCAGGCACGAAAGCGUGGGGAGCAAACAGG
This 253-nucleotide ribosomal RNA is filed under the name uncultured bacterium. Its description in RNAcentral is "partial 16S ribosomal RNA". It matches the Rfam family "Bacterial small subunit ribosomal RNA", at positions 524 to 776 of the family's 1533-position model. The record is from RNAcentral.